This 902-nucleotide long non-coding RNA is filed under the name Homo sapiens (human). RNAcentral describes it as "HSALNT0365177". Lineage: Eukaryota; Metazoa; Chordata; Mammalia; Primates; Hominidae. The record is from RNAcentral.
AUACACAGAGAACCACGUGGAGGAAAAGCACGCGAGUUUGGAGCGGGUGGAGCAGGAACAGAGGUGGACUGGAAUGUCACACGACGGGGCAGCUGGAAGGGCACCACUGAGUUCAGUACUUCAAAAUUGCCGUGCUCUACCUCUCCCCAGUGCACAAAAACACUCUCCACACCAAGCUGCUGCUGCUGGGGGAUGGAGGGAUGGCGUCAGCGAUUCAAGACUGUUUUUCCUACCUGUUCAGCACUUCUUUCAGCGAUAUGAAGUUAAAUCCAGGUCUGGAGGCUGGAAAGUCCAAGGUCAAGGCAUCAGCAGAUUCAGUGCCUAGUGAGGGGUCUGUUCCUCAUUGAUGGUGUCUCCUUGCUGUGUCUUCACAUGAUGGAAGAAGCAAACAAGCUCCCUGAGGCCUCUUUCAUUUUUCUAUUUAAUUUUUUUCAUUUUUAUUUUUAAUUUUUUUAUUUUACUUUAAGUUCUGGGAACAUGCAGGUUUGUUACACAGGUAUACAUGUGCCAUGGUGGUUUGCUGCACCUAUCAACCCAUCAUCUAGGUUUUAAGCCUGGUAUGCAUUAGGUAUUUGUCCUAAUGCUCUCCCUCCCCAUGCUCCCCACCCCGCAACAGGCCCCAGUGUGUGAUAUUCCCCUCCCUCUGUCCGUGUAUUCUCAUUGUUCAUCUCCCACUUAUGAGUGAGAAUAUGUGGUGUUUAGUUUUCUGUUCCUGUGUUAGUUUGCUGAGAAUGAUGGCUUCCAGCUUCAUCCACGUCCCUGCAAAGGACAUGAACUCAUCCUUUUUUAUGGCUGCAUAGUAUUCCAUGGUGUAUAUAUGCCACAUUGUCUUUAUCCAGUCUGUCAUUGAUGGGCAUUUGCAUUGGUUCCAAGUCUUUGCUAUUGUAAAUAAUGCUGCAGUA